Molecule: transfer RNA, 70 nt
Filed under: Ictidomys tridecemlineatus (thirteen-lined ground squirrel)
Lineage: Eukaryota; Metazoa; Chordata; Mammalia; Rodentia; Sciuridae
Description: Spermophilus tridecemlineatus (thirteen-lined ground squirrel) tRNA
Rfam family: tRNA
About the family: Transfer RNA (tRNA) molecules are approximately 80 nucleotides in length. Their secondary structure includes four short double-helical elements and three loops (D, anti-codon, and T loops). Further hydrogen bonds mediate the characteristic L-shaped molecular structure. tRNAs have two regions of fundamental functional importance: the anti-codon, which is responsible for specific mRNA codon recognition, and the 3' end, to which the tRNAs corresponding amino acid is attached (by aminoacyl-tRNA synthetases). tRNAs cope with the degeneracy of the genetic code in two manners: having more than one tRNA (with a specific anti-codon) for a particular amino acid; and 'wobble' base-pairing, i.e. permitting non-standard base-pairing at the 3rd anti-codon position.
Source: Rfam by way of RNAcentral
GGUAAUGUAGCUCAGUUGGUGGAGUGCUUGCUUUCCAUGCAUGAAGCCCUGGGUUCAAUCCCCAGCACCA